GAUGAACGCUGGCGGCGUGCCUAAUACAUGCAAGUCGAGCGAACAGACGAGGAGCUUGCUCCUCUGACGUUAGCGGCGGACGGGUGAGUAACACGUGGAUAACCUACCUAUAAGACUGGGAUAACUUCGGGAAACCGGAGUUAAUACCGGAUAAUAUAUUGAACCGCAUGGUUCAAUAGUGAAAGACGGUUUUGCUGUCACUUAUAGAUGGAUCCGCGCCGCAUUAGCUAGUUGGUAAGGUAACGGCUUACCAAGGCAACGAUGCGUAGCCGACCUGAGAGGGUGAUCGGCCACACUGGAACUGAGACACGGUCCAGACUCCUACGGGAGGCAGCAGUAGGAAAUCUUCCGCAAUGGGCGAAAGCCUGACGGAGCAACGCCGCGUGAGUGAUGAAGGUCUUCGGAUCGUAAAACUCUGUUAUUAGGGAAGAACAAAUGUGUAAGUAACUAUGCACGUCUUGACGGUACCUAAUCAGAAAGCCACGGCUAACUACGUG
This 497-nucleotide ribosomal RNA is filed under the name uncultured bacterium. RNAcentral's name for it is "partial 16S ribosomal RNA". It matches the Rfam family "Bacterial small subunit ribosomal RNA", at positions 28 to 507 of the family's 1533-position model. The record is from RNAcentral.